This 92-nucleotide transfer RNA is filed under the name Chloroflexi bacterium OLB13. RNAcentral's name for it is "tRNA-Ile". The record is from RNAcentral. RNAcentral also lists the same sequence under 1 other name. Lineage: Bacteria; Bacillati; Chloroflexota.
CGUGCUCCGUGGCGAGGUUCACGUUGGCGUCGAUGACGCCGGGCACCUUCUUGAGCGUGCGUUCGACCGUGCGAACACAGCCGGCGCAUGUC